GUACUGUGGGAGAGGCUGAGUAGUACACACUGUAUCAGGUGCAAGGAAGGAGGUCCUGAGCAGUGAAGAAAAAGCCUAAGCUGAGCAGUACUAACGCUCGAGUCACAGACUGGUGAUUAAAGAAAAUGUGUUGCGUCUUGGCCUGUAGCAUCCACCACCUAGGCCUGUUGCCAAGAGCUCUUCACUGAACCCUCUCCUAUGUACCAACAACCUUCCUGAAGUGAGGACACCAGAACUGGACACGCACUAUUCCAGCGAUGAUUGCCCUACUGCCAAAUACAGAGACUCUCUCGCAAUGCAGGACUAUCCUGGGAAGCA
This is a long non-coding RNA of Dermochelys coriacea (leatherback sea turtle), 318 nucleotides long. RefSeq lists it as uncharacterized. The transcript is spliced from 4 exons. The record is from RefSeq and is a predicted model, not a curated record. Lineage: Eukaryota; Metazoa; Chordata; Testudines; Dermochelyidae.